This 2292-nucleotide ribosomal RNA is filed under the name Triticum aestivum (bread wheat). Its description in RNAcentral is "partial small subunit ribosomal RNA". Lineage: Eukaryota; Viridiplantae; Streptophyta; Magnoliopsida; Poales; Poaceae. The record is from RNAcentral.
AUGGCGGGUGGUGGUCGGAGAAAUCGGAGCCGAGCCGGGCGGCCGGCGGCGGCUCGGGUUGAUGCCGCAGAUCUGGACGAGGAGUCCGGAGACGGAGCUAUUCCCAGGUACCGGAACCUGCAGGACGUCGAUGCCAAUUUGGUGGAUCAGAACCAAGAGUUGAGACGGCAAGUUCAGGCCCUAGCGCAGCAAAUGGCGGCCGUGCAGACGCAGAUGGCUCAGAUUGCUGUUGCUGUGCAACGGAGGGAUAUGCCAGAAGACCAGGGCAGUGAGGAUGAUUCGUCUGACAGCGACGGCUCUCCCGCAAGCUCCCUGAGGCGUCCUGAAGUUAACCCCUUUCAAGCCAGACAGCGACACGGACGGAAUCGUGCUACUGCUGAGCGCGAGCACCGCAGGCGGCGCUGCUUUGGCGUUAAGUUGCCGGAGUUCUCGGGAGGGCUCUCUCCUGAGGAUUUUAUUGAUUGGAUAGAUGAAGUUGAGCGUGUCUUUGAAUAUGCGGAGGUGCCAGAGGAGGAGCGUGUUCCUGCAGUUGCAAUGCGACUGAAAGGGCGUGCAUCUGUUUGGUGGAAAAAUCUAGAGCAGAGUCGUAGAGUUCGGGGCAAGCGAAAGAUUGAUUCCUGGUUUGCCAUGAAGGAGAAGAUGCAGAGAGAGUUUCUUCCAUUUAAUUAUGAAGAAUCAUUAUUCAGGCAACUCCAAAAUCUACGACAAGGCACAAAAAGUGUGGACGAGUAUACAAAUGAAUUCUAUCAACUAGUAUCACGCAACAAUUUGAGUGAUUCCAAGAGUCAACUGGUGGCAAGGUAUGUUGGUGGUUUACGUCAAUCAAUCCAAGAUGUGUUGUCCUUGCAUAUGAAUUUUACAGUGUCAGAGGCAUACCAGCGAGCCAUCGCUGUGGAAAAACAGCAACAACGACCAGUGCGCACAAACAACGCUCAGUUCCGACCACGAUCUAAUAAUUCUGCACCAACAAGGGCGGCGAGCAGAAGCGACCCAGGGCCAACAAGAUCUGCCCCAUUGCCUAAAGGUGUCGGGGAUAAGUCCAAGUCAGCAACAGCAAGAGGUACUUGUUUUAAAUGUGGUUCUUCAGAACAUUUACAAAGAGAUUGCCCAAGGAACAUCGGCAGGGAUGGUAAAGGAUUAGUAGGUGACUAUGAUGAAGAGACAGAGCAUCGAGGUGAACCUACAUAUGAUAAUUAUGAUGAUAAUGAUGAGGUUGAGCUGGAUGGAGAUACAGGGGACAUGUUAGUAAUGGAGCGAGCUUUGAUGAUACCUCCAAAAGACGAAGAUUGGCGAAGACGGAGCUUGUUCCACACGCGCUGCACUAUAGGUGGAAAAGUAUGUCAUGUUAUUAUUGAUAAUGGCAGCUGGGAAAAUACUAUAUCAGAGGAGGCAGUAAAUAAACUUGGGCUUAAGAAGGAAAAUCAUCCUUGUCCUUAUAACAUGCGCUGGUUCAAAUCUGACAAGGUAUCGAAGGUAAAAUUUCGGUGUUUGGUGUCUUUCUCCGUUGGCAAUAAAUUCUUUGAUGAGGUAGAAUGUGAUGUUGUUGAUAUGGAUGUUAGCCACCUAAUUCUGGGAAGACCUUGGCAGUAUGACCGCCAUGCUGUACAUGAUGGCCGUAAGCACACAUAUACUGUCAUGAAAGAUGGCCAAAAAUUUGUGUUUAACCCAGUGAAAGAGGAUGAGUUAGUCAAAUCCAAGAGUUAUGAAUCAUCAUGCACCACAAGUCUCAUAUCUUGUAAGAAAUUUAUGCGUGAAGCAAUAGAAGGAGGCGUAUAUCUGCUACUGCUUUCAGAGCAGAAGAGUGAAGUUGGCAUACCAAAGGAGGCACAUGACUUAUUGGAAGAAUUUUCACAUGUCUUUCCAAAAGAGCUUCCUUCUGUAUUACCUCCCAUGCGAGACAUUCAACAUCAGAUUGAUUUAGUACCAGGAGCUAGUUUGCCAAAUCGCCCGGCUUAUCGAAUGAAUCCCCAAGAGUAUGAGGAACUAAAUCGUCAAGUGCAAGAACUAUUAGAUAAAGGUUUUAUUCAACCUAGCCUAAGCCCAUGUGCUGUCCCUGCACUCCUGACACCAAAAAAAGAUGGUUCAUGGCGCAUGUGUGUUGAUUCUCGAGCAAUAAAUAAGAUAACGAUUAAGUAUCGAUUUCCUAUACCUCGACUCGAUGAUAUGUUGGAUAAUUUAGCAGGGGCAGUGGUAUUUUCAAAGAUUGAUCUCAAGAGUGGGUACCACCAAUUAAGGAUCCGUCCAGGAGAUGAGUGGAAGACGGCUUUCAAGACAAGAGAUGGGCUUGGUUAG